CGCUGGCGGCGUGCCUAACACAUGCAAGUCGAACGGAACGAAAAGAGCUUGCUCUUGGCGUUUAGUGGCGGACGGGUGAGUAACACGUGAGUAACCUGCCUUUCAGAGGGGAAUAAUGUCUGGAAACGGACACUAAUACCGCAUAAAAUAUUUUAACCGCAUGAUUGAAAUAUCAAAGGAGCAAUCCGCUGAAAGAUGGACUCGCGUCUGAUUAGCCAGUUGGCGGGGUAACGGCCCACCAAAGCGACGAUCAGUAGCCGGACUGAGAGGUUGAACGGCCACAUUGGGACUGAGACACGGCCCAGACUCCUACGGGAGGCAGCAGUGGGGGAUAUUGCACAAUGGGCGCAAGCCUGAUGCAGCAAACCGCCGCGUGCAGGAAGACGGUCUUCGGAUUGUAAACUGUUGUCCUCUGUGACGAUAAUGACGGUAGCAGAGGAGGAAGCCACGGCUAACUACGUGCCAGCAGCCGC
RNAcentral lists this ribosomal RNA (473 nucleotides) under uncultured bacterium. RNAcentral describes it as "bacterial SSU rRNA". It matches the Rfam family "Bacterial small subunit ribosomal RNA", at positions 34 to 518 of the family's 1533-position model. The record is from RNAcentral.